Ribosomal RNA from Petromyzon marinus (sea lamprey), 119 nucleotides. NCBI's taxonomy places the organism in Eukaryota, Metazoa, Chordata, Hyperoartia, Petromyzontiformes, Petromyzontidae. The record is from Ensembl.
GCCUACGACCAUCUCACCCUGAACGCGCCCGAUCUCGUCUGAUCUCGGAAGCUAAGCAGAGUCGAGCCUGGCUAGUACAUGGAUGGGAGACUGCCUGGGAAUACCAGGUGUUGUAGGCU